This 976-nucleotide ribosomal RNA is filed under the name Escherichia coli. Its description in RNAcentral is "partial 23S ribosomal RNA". It matches the Rfam family "Bacterial large subunit ribosomal RNA", at positions 418 to 1393 of the family's 2925-position model. The record is from RNAcentral. Lineage: Bacteria; Pseudomonadati; Pseudomonadota; Gammaproteobacteria; Enterobacterales; Enterobacteriaceae.
CGGGACACGUGGUAUCCUGUCUGAAUAUGGGGGGACCAUCCUCCAAGGCUAAAUACUCCUGACUGACCGAUAGUGAACCAGUACCGUGAGGGAAAGGCGAAAAGAACCCCGGCGAGGGGAGUGAAAAAGAACCUGAAACCGUGUACGUACAAGCAGUGGGAGCACGCUUAGGCGUGUGACUGCGUACCUUUUGUAUAAUGGGUCAGCGACUUAUAUUCUGUAGCAAGGUUAACCGAAUAGGGGAGCCGAAGGGAAACCGAGUCUUAACUGGGCGUUAAGUUGCAGGGUAUAGACCCGAAACCCGGUGAUCUAGCCAUGGGCAGGUUGAAGGUUGGGUAACACUAACUGGAGGACCGAACCGACUAAUGUUGAAAAAUUAGCGGAUGACUUGUGGCUGGGGGUGAAAGGCCAAUCAAACCGGGAGAUAGCUGGUUCUCCCCGAAAGCUAUUUAGGUAGCGCCUCGUGAAUUCAUCUCCGGGGGUAGAGCACUGUUUCGGCAAGGGGGUCAUCCCGACUUACCAACCCGAUGCAAACUGCGAAUACCGGAGAAUGUUAUCACGGGAGACACACGGCGGGUGCUAACGUCCGUCGUGAAGAGGGAAACAACCCAGACCGCCAGCUAAGGUCCCAAAGUCAUGGUUAAGUGGGAAACGAUGUGGGAAGGCCCAGACAGCCAGGAUGUUGGCUUAGAAGCAGCCAUCAUUUAAAGAAAGCGUAAUAGCUCACUGGUCGAGUCGGCCUGCGCGGAAGAUGUAACGGGGCUAAACCAUGCACCGAAGCUGCGGCAGCGACGCUUAUGCGUUGUUGGGUAGGGGAGCGUUCUGUAAGCCUGUGAAGGUGUACUGUGAGGUAUGCUGGAGGUAUCAGAAGUGCGAAUGCUGACAUAAGUAACGAUAAAGCGGGUGAAAAGCCCGCUCGCCGGAAGACCAAGGGUUCCUGUCCAACGUUAAUCGGGGCAGGGUGAGUCGACCCCUA